This 211-nucleotide ribosomal RNA is filed under the name Zyxomma petiolatum. RNAcentral describes it as "partial 28S ribosomal RNA". The record is from RNAcentral. Lineage: Eukaryota; Metazoa; Arthropoda; Insecta; Odonata; Libellulidae.
GAAGAGAGAGUUCAAGAGUACGUGAAACCGUCUGGGAGUAAACGGGUGGUUCCCGAAAGUGCGAAAGGGGAGAUUCAGGUCUCGCCGCGCGCCGGGCCGCUUCCGCGACCAGGGAUGGCUCUCUCGCGGCCGUGGGGCGACCCACGGUCCGGGANNNGCGCCACUCCGCGGGUGCGGUCUGUCCCGGCGUCAGAGUGACGCACUUCUCCCC